GUAAUACCUCAUAUUGUGCUGGUAAAACCUGAAGAUUAAAGACAACGGUAGAAUGAAGAAUCGUCUUGUUCUUGUAGCAGUAACGUAUUUACUGAUAAACUGGACCGCUGCAGCACCAGCAGCAGAUUUAGUAUGUCAUUAUAAUGGCGCCGAUCAUGUGGUAGGAGACAGUUUCAAAUCUACUGAUGGCUGUAACCAAUGUGGAUGUGGUCGAGGUGGUUUUGUAUUCUGUACUGAAAUGGCCUGUAUUAAGAACUACUGUAGUUAUGGCGGUAUCAAUUAUAUGGAUGGUCAGGGUUUUAAAUCAAGUGAUGGCUGUAAUAGUUGCGGCUGCAGUAAUGGAAUGGUGGUGUGCACGCAGCGCUUUUGUCAGCGUCUGGAUAUAAGUUCUUAAAGCUGUGAAUAUAAAACAGUUUUGUGU
Patella vulgata (common limpet) is the source of this 421-nucleotide long non-coding RNA. RefSeq lists it as uncharacterized. NCBI's taxonomy places the organism in Eukaryota, Metazoa, Mollusca, Gastropoda, Patellidae. The transcript has 2 exons. The record is from RefSeq and is a predicted model, not a curated record.